This 429-nucleotide ribosomal RNA is filed under the name Bacteroidota bacterium. Its description in RNAcentral is "Bacteroidetes bacterium partial 16S ribosomal RNA". It matches the Rfam family "Bacterial small subunit ribosomal RNA", at positions 355 to 776 of the family's 1533-position model. The record is from RNAcentral. Lineage: Bacteria; Pseudomonadati; Bacteroidota.
UAGGGAAUCUUCGGCAAUGGGGGGAACCCUGACCGAGCAACGCCGCGUGAGUGAAGAAGGUUUUCGGAUCGUAAAGCUCUGUUGUUAAGGAAGAACGAGUGUGAGAAUGGAAAGUUCAUGCUGUGACGGGACUUAACCAGAAAGGGACGGCUAACUACGUGCCAGCAGCCGCGGUAAUACGUAGGUCCCGAGCGUUGUCCGGAUUUAUUGGGCGUAAAGCGAGCGCAGGCGGUUAGAAAAGUCUGAAGUGAAAGGCAGUGGCUCAACCAUUGUAGGCUUUGGAAACUGUUUAACUUGAGUGCAGAAGGGGAGAGUGGAAUUCCAUGUGUAGCGGUGAAAUGCGUAGAUAUAUGGAGGAACACCGGUGGCGAAAGCGGCUCUCUGGUCUGUAACUGACGCUGAGGCUCGAAAGCGUGGGGAGCGAACAGG